RNAcentral lists this non-coding RNA (241 nucleotides) under Stenotrophomonas sp. Its description in RNAcentral is "FMN sequence". It matches the Rfam family "FMN riboswitch aptamer (RFN element)". From Rfam's summary of the family: The RFN element is a highly conserved domain that is found frequently in the 5'-untranslated regions of prokaryotic mRNAs that encode for flavin mononucleotide (FMN) biosynthesis and transport proteins. This element is a metabolite-dependent riboswitch that directly binds FMN in the absence of proteins. In Bacillus subtilis, the riboswitch most likely controls gene expression by causing premature transcription termination within the 5' untranslated region of the ribDEAHT operon and precluding access to the ribosome-binding site of ypaA mRNA. Lineage: Bacteria; Pseudomonadati; Pseudomonadota; Gammaproteobacteria; Lysobacterales; Lysobacteraceae. The record is from RNAcentral.
GAACGUCUUCAGGGCGGGGUGUAAUUCCCCACCGGCGGUAGGUGCGCGGUUCCCCCGGGAACCUGCACGAGCCCGCGAGCGCCGAGGCCGGCACGCGAGUCAUUGCACUCGCGGAUACCCAUGCAUCGCAUGCGCGGGUUGCAACGGCCGAGGGUCAGCAGAUCCGGUCCGAUGCCGGAGCCGACGGUUGGCGACGCCGCGAACGCGGUGCCGCCUAGAGUCCGGAUGAAAGAAGACGGCC